This is a long non-coding RNA of Tribolium castaneum (red flour beetle), 1620 nucleotides long. RefSeq lists it as uncharacterized. Lineage: Eukaryota; Metazoa; Arthropoda; Insecta; Coleoptera; Tenebrionidae. The record is from RefSeq and is a predicted model, not a curated record. The transcript has 2 exons.
GUCUGUAACUAUGAACUGUAUUUUCACUAAAACCGAACUGACUUGAACCAAGUAUACAUUCUUCAUUGAGAUUAAAGCUGAUUUUUAAGUACAAUACUACAUAAACAGGGAUCUCUACUAUAAGUCCAUUGUUUCGUUAAUUUAUUGUAGCUUAGUAUUUUAUUGAAAUUUAUUUGGCGAAAGUAGGUGAAAAUUGCGUUUUAGGCAAGUAGGUGAGUGUUUUAAUUAUCUACCCAGUGGCGUCGUCAGAAUUUAUUUAGCCACGGAACGGGGAAAUAAGUAUUGUGAGCUUGAAAAGUUUCAGUGCAAGUUUCACCAUUUCACCAGUUUCACUAAAAACUGAAACUUCUUGAAGAGUUAAAGUAAUAUUAGAAUCGUAAUGUGGCAAGAUUUGAUGAUUUUGAUCUGCAGGUUUAGUUACAACAGUAACCAGUAAGUUGAUUGGAAAUUACUUGUUUAAAAUUAUGUAUCACAUAUUUUUUUGUAAUUGUUUUUAUAUAAAUUGUUGAUUGUACUCAAAUAUUUACCUAUUUAAUAAUUACAACAAUAGGUAAUUAUUUAUAAUUUAUAUUGUAUGUUAUAAUUCGUUCCAAAACACUAAAAAUCAUUUAAAACAUUUAACUAAGUAGUAGCAUAUUAAUAGCAUUUUUUAUUGUAUAUUGUUCUUUUCAUAUUUUCCAAUUUUAACUAAUAAAAAUCUGUUAUCAUUGCUUCUGACGAUCUUAUUUUCCGUUUUGUCGUCUCUUAUCUUUGUUUAAUAUUAAUAUAUCUUUUAUAAUUGUUUAUUGAUAUUGCGCUAAGGCGCUAAGAUUUUCAUUAAAGAAAUUUAAGUAAGAGUUAAAAAAAUAUUGACAUGUCGCAUUUUUCAUAUUGUUAUAAGAAAAAAAAUCUUGAAUAAUUUCCAGGUUUUUUACCUUCGCAUCAACUGAUUCAACAAUUAAAAUGCCAUAACAAAACACAAGGAACAUUGAAUUUUGAAAAAUUAUGAUAUUUUUAAACAAAUAAUAAAUUUUAUUAAAAGGAGGAUUUUGUUGCAGACGAGUGUAAUCACACAAAUAGUAUAAUAAGACACAUAAAUAAAAUAAAAUAGAUACUUUAUUUUCUUCUCUGUUAAAUGUUUAUCUACUUUUAUACAAACUGAGGCUAGGUUUUUUAAAAAGUUGUGGAAAAUGACCGAAAAUCACUGUCAGAUCGAAAAUAUUUUUUAGUCUACUUCACUCUAUUAACUUUGUUGCUGGACCAAAAACUUAUUUAUUUGGCAUUAUCUUGACGAACUUUGUCUAAAAAUCGAAAUUGAUGGAAUAUAGGUUAAGGCUUUCUGUACAUUUUUUAAUAAAAAGUUCAGUAUUUUUGCAUAAUUGCUAAACGAGAUCGAAAAAGUCUCCAAACUGAAUUGAUGUCAUUAUUUUAUUAUUAUUAUUAUUAUUAUGUUUUUUUUGAGUAAAGACUUUCUUUUUUCGUAAGAACUUGUAAAUAUACUUAAGAACCGUGGAAGUACAAAAAUGGCUAAAAAACAUCGUUACUUUUGCUUUACAUUUAUUAGGUCAUUGGUGAGCAAAAAACAUAAUUAAUUAACUUAUAAAAUUUCGUUAAAAAUAAACCAAAACAGAUUUAACAAAU